GUGAUUGGUCACUUGGGGGCAGCACGUUGUAAACACCACGCGGACGUUUCUUCGCGGUUUAAAGUUAAUAUGGCUAACUAGUUAGCAAACUGUUGCUUAUUUACACUACCGCCAGACACAAGGAAACAUUAACCUGUAUUUGGAGUCGCCUGAGGGAUGAAUACGGGCCACGCAAUCGGAGGGCUGCAAUCUUCUCGAUCAAUUUCUACCUGCGUUCCUCUUUGUGAUGUUUUGGGACACAUUCCAGUCCAAUAUCUACAACGCUAUUUUGGCCGAACAAUCAAAUUGAACGAGUGGGUGAGGAGAGCGGCCACAAGAGGUGGAAAUCAUCGCCUGAGAGGAAGCAGGAAGUGGCUGCUGAUGGCGUCAGGAUCGAGGUGUCGCUCCCUGCCUGGGUGCUCUGCCGUGCCACAUCUGUCCAUCUGUCAAGCAUACAGGCCCAUCAAUCAAACAGCUGAAUGCAGGCAAGGGAGCCCCAUCUGCUGCCACACUGGGGGAUAAGAAGAAGGAUUUAUGGCACACACAGCUUCUCCGAACUUGGAUAUGACUCAGAAAAGAUGGUCCUGACGCUGCCGGCAUGCUGGUGAGAAUGCAUAAUCAGCAUCAUGUGACGCCAAGUCACUGCUUUUACUCCCAAGACUG
RNAcentral lists this long non-coding RNA (642 nucleotides) under Cottoperca gobio. RNAcentral describes it as "lncRNA (ENSCGOG00000010737.1)". Lineage: Eukaryota; Metazoa; Chordata; Actinopteri; Perciformes; Bovichtidae. The record is from RNAcentral.